RNAcentral lists this ribosomal RNA (189 nucleotides) under Archamia bleekeri (Gon's cardinalfish). Its description in RNAcentral is "partial 12S ribosomal RNA". Lineage: Eukaryota; Metazoa; Chordata; Actinopteri; Kurtiformes; Apogonidae. The record is from RNAcentral.
ACGAAUUGUAAUGCUGAAAAUGCACACAUGAAGGAGGAUUUAGAAGUAAGGGGGCAAGCAGAGUGCCCCCCUGAAAUGGUUCUGAAGCGUGCACACACCGCCCGUCACUCUCCCCAAGCUAGAUAUAUAGCCUUUAAAUAAACAGUUUUGCCCUACAAAGGGGAGGCAAGUCGUAACAUGGUAAGUGUA